This 1279-nucleotide ribosomal RNA is filed under the name Laurencia pacifica. RNAcentral's name for it is "bacterial LSU rRNA". It matches the Rfam family "Bacterial large subunit ribosomal RNA", at positions 752 to 2044 of the family's 2925-position model. The record is from RNAcentral. Lineage: Eukaryota; Rhodophyta; Florideophyceae; Ceramiales; Rhodomelaceae.
UUCCGUAACAGGAAGUGGAGGGCCGAACCGUUGUAUGUUGAAAAAUACUCGGAUGAGGUGUGGGUAGGAGUGAAAGGCUUAUCAAACCCGGGAAUAGCUGGUUCUCCUCGAAAUAGCUUUAGGGCUAGCCUGUGGUAAUACUCAUCUCGGAGGUAGAGCACUGACUGGGAUAUGGCCCAUACCAGGGUACUGACACCAAUCAAACUCCGAAUGCCGAGAACAGAUAACCAUGGAGUCACACUGCGGGGGAUAAGCUUCGUAGUGGAAAGGGAAACAGCCCAGACCGCCAGUUAAGGUCCCUAAAAUGUACUAAGUGCGUAAAGGAUGUGAAAUUGCUAAGACAGCGAGGAUGUUGGCUUAGAGGCAGCCACCAUUUAAACAAUGCGUAAUAGCUGACUCGUCGAGUGGUUUUGCGCCGAAAAUGAACGGGACUAAAGCAUAUUACCGAAACUGCGGAUCCGUUAGGAUGGUAGAGGAGCGUCGUACCUGCAUUGAAGGAUGAGGGCAACCGAUUCUGGAGCGCGUACGAGCGAUUAUGCGGACAUGAGUAACGAUAAACCAAGUGAGAAUCUUGGUCGCCGAAACCCUAAGAUUUCCUGGGGAAGGAUCGUCCUCCCAGGGUUAGUCGGCCCCUAAGGCGAGGCCUAACGGCGUAGUCGAUGGGAAACAGGUUAAAUAUUCCUGUACUAUUAUAAGUGUGCGAUGGAUGGACGCAGGAGGCUAAUCACGCUGGCCGUUGGUUGUGCCAGUACAAGCGCGUAGGCCGUUCUUACUAAUCUUCGAACAUAAGGUUGAAACGUGAUGUGGACGGAGCCCUCACGGGCGAUGGAAGGUGAUGAUGCCAUGCUGUCAAGAAAAGAUCCUAAGUUUAGCUUAUAAUAACCGUAUCGGAAACCGACACAGGUAGGGUGGUAGAGUAUACCGAGGCGCGCUAGAGAAACCUCGUUAAGGAACUCGGCAAAUUAGCCCCGUAUCUUCGGAAGAAGGGGUCCCCACUUUGUGGGGCGCAGUGAAAAGGCUCAGGCGACUGUUUACCAAAAACAUAGCACUCUGCGAACUCGAAAGAGGAUGUAUAGGGUGUGACACGUGACCAAUGCCAAAAGGUUAAGGCAAGGGGUUAGCAGAAUUUAUUCAGCGAAGCUCCGACCCGAAGCCCUGGUGAAUGUCGGCCGUAACUAUAACGGUCCUAAGGUAGCGAAAUUCCUUGUCGGGUAAGUUCCGACCUGCACGAAUCGUGUAACGAUCUGAGCACUGUCUCAACGAGGAUCCAGGUGAGAUC